GGUCCUAUGGCUUAGAUGGCAAAGCGCCUGCCUAGUAAGCAGGAAAUCACGAGUUCUGAGUCUCGUUGGGACCU
Non-coding RNA from Daphnia pulex (common water flea), 74 nucleotides. Lineage: Eukaryota; Metazoa; Arthropoda; Branchiopoda; Diplostraca; Daphniidae. The record is from Rfam.